Small nucleolar RNA from Colobus angolensis palliatus, 128 nucleotides. NCBI's taxonomy places the organism in Eukaryota, Metazoa, Chordata, Mammalia, Primates, Cercopithecidae. The record is from Ensembl.
CCCCAGACAGGCAGCACUGAAGUUCAAAAAACUUUAAUUUUUUGAUAUUAUCCUGGAAGAGUAAUUGCUGACCUUAUUCACUGGCAGUGGGCCUUAUGGCACAGUGAAUCACCAGGUUAGAGACACGU